This 253-nucleotide ribosomal RNA is filed under the name uncultured bacterium. Its description in RNAcentral is "partial 16S ribosomal RNA". It matches the Rfam family "Bacterial small subunit ribosomal RNA", at positions 524 to 776 of the family's 1533-position model. The record is from RNAcentral.
UACGUAGGGGGCAAGCGUUGUCCGGAAUCAUUGGGCGUAAAGAGCGUGUAGGCGGCCAGGUAGGUCCGUUGUGAAAACUCGAGGCUCAACCUCGAGACGUCGGCGGAAACCCUCUGGCUAGAGUCCGGAAGAGGAGAGUGGAAUUCCUGGUGUAGCGGUGAAAUGCGCAGAUAUCAGGAGGAACACCUGUGGCGAAAGCGGAUCUCUGGGCCAUUACUGACGCUGAGGAGCGAAAGCGUGGGGAGCGAACAGG